AGAGUUUGAUCAUGGCUCAGGAUGAACGCUAGCGGCAGGCUUAACACAUGCAAGUCGAGGGGUAUGGUAGCAAUACCAGAGACCGGCAAACGGGUGCGGAACACGUACACAAUUUACCUCGAUCUGGGGCAUAGCCCGGAGAAAUCCGGAUUAACUCCCCAUAAGAUAGUAGAGUGGCAUCACUCAGCUAUUAAAACUCCGGUGGAUCGAGAUGAGUGUGCGUCCCAUUAGCUAGUUGGUAGGGUAAAGGCCUACCAAGGCGACGAUGGGUAGCUGGUGUGAGAGCACGACCAGCCACACGGGCACUGAGACACGGGCCCGACUCCUACGGGAGGCAGCAGUGAGGAAUAUUGGUCAAUGGACGCAAGUCUGAACCAGCCAUGCCGCGUGAAGGAUGAAGGCCUUCUGGGUUGUAAACUUCUUUUAUCUGGGAAGAAACCUCAGUUUUCUAACUGAGCCGACGGUACCAGAGGAAUAAGCACCGGCUAACUCCGUGCCAGCAGCCGCGGUAAUACGGAGGGUGCAAGCGUUAUCCGGAUUUACUGGGUUUAAAGGGUGUGUAGGCGGGCGUUUAAGUCAGUGGUGAAAUCUCCGAGCUCAACUCGGAAACUGCCAUUGAUACUAUUCGUCUUGAAUAUCGUUGAGGUAGGCGGAAUAUAUCAUGUAGCGGUGAAAUGCAUAGAUAUGAUAUAGAACACCAAUUGCGAAGGCAGCUUGCUAAACGAUGAUUGACGCUGAGGCACGAAAGCGUGGGGAUCAAACAGGAUUAGAUACCCUGGUAGUCCACGCCCUAAACGAUGAUUACUCGACAUACGCGAUACACAGUGUGUGUCUGAGCGAAAGCAUUAAGUAAUCCACCUGGGAAGUACGACCGCAAGGUUGAAACUCAAAGGAAUUGACGGGGGUCCGCACAAGCGGUGGAGCAUGGUGGUUUAAUUCGAUGAUACGCGAGGAACCUUACCUGGGCUAGAAUGCUG
This 977-nucleotide ribosomal RNA is filed under the name uncultured bacterium. Its description in RNAcentral is "bacterial SSU rRNA". It matches the Rfam family "Bacterial small subunit ribosomal RNA", at positions 8 to 990 of the family's 1533-position model. The record is from RNAcentral.